UUAAACGUUACUUCGGUAACUUAAUAUCCUCAACACCUGUGCAUCUUGUCGCUCCGGCGAUAUCAUACAAACAUCAGUGUAAAGAAUGUAUUAUAUUAUAACAAAUA
RNAcentral lists this unclassified non-coding RNA (107 nucleotides) under uncultured Cryptococcus. RNAcentral's name for it is "sequence contains ITS1". The record is from RNAcentral. Lineage: Eukaryota; Fungi; Basidiomycota; Tremellomycetes.